GACUGGUGUGUGGUGUGUGCUUUGUGUGUUGUGUGUGUUGUGUGUGUGGUGUGUCUGGUGUGUGGUGUGUGCUUUGUGUGUUGUGUGUGUGGUGUAUAGUGUGUGGAGUUUGUGUGUUGUGUGGGGUGUGUGUUGUGUUGUGUGUCUGGUGUGUGUUGUGUGAUGUGUUGUGUGUGGUGUGUGUGUUGUGUUGUGUGUGGUGUGUGUCUGGUGUGUGGUGUGUGUGUGGGGUGUGUGGUAUGUAUGUGGUGUGUGUUGUGUGUGGGGUGUGUGUGGCGGGUUUUGGGGGG
This 290-nucleotide long non-coding RNA is filed under the name Homo sapiens (human). RNAcentral describes it as "HSALNT0299743". Lineage: Eukaryota; Metazoa; Chordata; Mammalia; Primates; Hominidae. The record is from RNAcentral.